GAGUUUGAUCGUGGCUCAGAUUGAACGCUGGCGGCAGGCCUAACACAUGCAAGUCGAGCGGAUGAAGGGAGCUUGCUCCUGGAUUCAGCGGCGGACGGGUGAGUAAUGCCUAGGAAUCUGCCUGGUAGUGGGGGAUAACGUCCGGAAACGGGCGCUAAUACCGCAUACGUCCUGAGGGAGAAAGUGGGGGAUCUUCGGACCUCACGCUAUCAGACGAGCCUAGGUCGGAUUAGCUAGUUGGUGGGGUAAAGGCCUACCAAGGCGACGAUCCGUAACUGGUCUGAGAGGAUGAUCAGUCACACUGGAACUGAGACACGGUCCAGACUCCUACGGGAGGCAGCAGUGGGGAAUAUUGGACAAUGGGCGAAAGCCUGAUCCAGCCAUGCCGCGUGUGUGAAGAAGGUCUUCGGAUUGUAAAGCACUUUAAGUUGGGAGGAAGGGCAGUAAGUUAAUACCUUGCUGUUUUGACGUUACCAACAGAAUAAGCACCGGCUAACUUCGUGCCAGCAGCAGCCGA
Molecule: ribosomal RNA, 517 nt
Filed under: uncultured microorganism
Description: bacterial SSU rRNA
Rfam family: Bacterial small subunit ribosomal RNA
Source: RNAcentral